Molecule: RNA transcript, 2294 nt
Organism: Gadus morhua (Atlantic cod)
Lineage: Eukaryota; Metazoa; Chordata; Actinopteri; Gadiformes; Gadidae
Gene: cabp7a
Gene name: calcium binding protein 7a
Exons: 5
Source: RefSeq, a predicted model, not a curated record
GAGAGUGAGCGGGAGAGCAAAAGAGAGAGUCACUGAUAUAGACAGAGUUGUAGGCUUAUGUGACCAGAAGAGAGAGAGACAGAGGAGGGAGAGGACACCUACACGCGUUCAGACGGAGUGGUUUGAGAGAUAAAGGAGGCUGUUACAUAUAAGAUCUAACACAAGACCUGCAGCCUCCCCAACACACAACACACCGUGCGCGUCUGCGCGGAAGGAGAACUGUUGCGCCCCCGGACUCGACACCAAUCCGCGGCCGCGGGGGAGUUUGUUCAGCGCGCCCCAAAUAUUCCAUUUAAUGACCAAGAUAACACAUUUGCUACUUCCUUGUUCAUCUACAGCCAGCCACUCGCAUUGGAUUAUAGCCUUAGUCUAACGCCGCCGGGUCGACUAUGGACGCGGUGCGCCAAACGAGCGCACGCAUCCAACAAGUGGACGCGCGGAGAGGAACAACACGGUGGAAUUAAACCCACGUCGAAUGGCUCAUAAUGCAAGCACGUUUCACGUUGACACGGACCACGACGGAGACGGCAGGGAAAAGCGCGGUGAUCGCUUGACAUGCUGAGAUCGUGUCGGUUGAAACGACGUCCGUAACGUCGAGCUCGACUGUAGUUUGUUGAGCGGCGCGCGACUUUAAAAACGCGCAGCCGAUCAGUCGGCAGCAGGCGGACAUUCGCACGAAAAUAUCGACGAGGCGGGAAGUUCCUUCGUUUGCGAGAUCGUUUUUGCGCGUUUCUGUAGAGCCUCACUUACUCCCUCCUGGCCACGUUCAACCAGUCUCCCUCUAACCAUGGACUAGUCCCUCUCUGACACGACUAAUCGGCAGCAGGGGACUGGGGAUAUUCUCUUCCAUUUCUAUAUGAAGGUAGCAGCCAAAGGUCGCCAUCAUGCCGAUGCAUCCAGUUACCUCCACUUUGAUGUAUCGGGGGAUCUGCACCAUCCCGGACAUCCUCUCCUACAGCGCUCCCGUCAACCUGCCUGAAGACGAGGUGGAAGAGAUCCGCGAGGCCUUCAAGGUGUUCGACCGGGACGGGAAUGGCUUCAUCUCCAAGCAGGAGCUGGGCAUGGCCAUGCGCUCGCUGGGCUACAUGCCCAACGAGGUGGAGCUUGAGGUCAUCAUCCAGAGGCUGGAUAUGGACGGAGACGGACAAGUUGACUUUGAAGAGUUUGUGACCCUCCUGGGACCCAAGCUGACAGCGGGAGGGCUGCCAGAUAAGUUCAACGGCACCGACUUUGAUUCGGUCUUCUGGAAGAGUGUGUCUUUGCCCUGCUAUUGCUCUAAAAUGGAAGUAUCCUUCUGGGAAGUAAUUGAAUGCGCCUGUGUGUGUAUGUACAUGUGUGCUUGCGAUCACAUGUGUGUCUGUGGAUCUGCAUGUGCGACCAUGAGUUCCCCCAGUGUGACAUGCAGAAGCUGACCGUGGAGGAGCUGAAGAGACUGCUGUACGACACGUUCUGCGACCACCUGACCAUGAAGGACAUCGAGAACAUCAUCAUGACGGAGGAGAACCACAUUCAGAACCCAGAGGACUGUCAGGUGGACAUCGACAGCUCCAGCCCGACGGUGAAGCAGACCUGCGUUCGGAAGAGUCUGAUCUGCGCCUUCGCAAUCGCCUUCAUCAUCAGCGUCAUGCUGAUCGCAGCCAAUCAGGUGCUCCGGAGCGGCAUGAAGUAGGACUCGAGAGCUGAGGAUUAUCCUGAACUCACUACAAAAAACAGCAACACAUGUGGAGAACAAAACACACAAAACAAAACCGACACGAAACUGUAGUGGUGAUGAUGCCCUCGGGUCUUCAGGAGAAGAUAUCGCUGCAGCGACUCGCUGACAACUUACAGAGCCCCUCAGAAUAUACUAUAUCCUCAUCGUCCUGUGAUACGUCCUCCAUGCGCUACCCAUUGUGGUGUUUGCGUGUGUGUUUGUGACAAAAUGUGAGUGCGUGGGUUUGGUUGUGUGUUUGGGUGCGCAUGUGUUUGUGUGUGCAUGAACGUGCCUGUGCGUAGGCUAUGUAUGUGGUUGUGUGUGUGUGUGUGUGUGUGUGUGUGUGUGUGUGUGUGAGUGUGUGCGCUCAUUUGUGUGCGAAUAUAAUUGUGUGUGCGUGCGGCCACCCAAGUACUGUGUAAAGUAAAGUCCGGUUGUCAACUGUGGAAAGCGAUGUGCCAAGUCUCCAGCUGUGCACGUGUCCCCUGCACCACAGUGGGGGGGUCCUGUCUCUGUAGAGUACGACGUGUGCAAUGUAUUACUAAACGUUCAGAUCCGGAUGACGUCAUUGAACCCAGGGAGUGUGGGGGGGGGGGGGGGG